Molecule: long non-coding RNA, 562 nt
Organism: Oncorhynchus tshawytscha (Chinook salmon)
Lineage: Eukaryota; Metazoa; Chordata; Actinopteri; Salmoniformes; Salmonidae
Source: Ensembl
UUUUACUGCCUGAAACAUGCAAUUAUCUCAUCUGACAAGUCUCUACAGAACAGGAAGGAGGCCUCAUCUACAGGUGUCACGUCACCUGAAGCAGAGGUGGACAGACAGAGCUGCACAGCGUAGGACAGACCUCUGUAGGGUUUAUAUUGAUCUAUGUAUUACAAGUCACCAUGAUUCAUCAAUGAAGUUACCAAUCGUGGCAGCUGUUGAGAUUGUGCAGUGACUCUCGCCUGAUAACAGACACAUGUCCUGCAGCUUAUCAGCCAUCACGACUCGUCCCAUAAACAUUGAUUCAGAAAUCAAAUAACGGAGAACAAACAACAGGACUGAUGCUGCUGGUAGUGAUUAUAUGACUCAACACUGAGCUAGAAAGCUGUGUAUUUGACUCUGAUGUGUGAGCCUGUCAUAGCUGAGCUGUCCCUAAGCAACCUUUACCAAUGGAGUUGAUGAGCUACAUGAUGAGCAACACCAGGUGGUCAUGAAGGCAGAGAUGGACAGGCCUAGUGGAUUACAAUGUCCAGACACACACAACAGACACAACGUAUAGAAGCAGCAAUUCCAU